UACGUAGGGGGCUAGCGUUGUCCGGAAUCAUUGGGCGUAAAGAGCGUGUAGGCGGUCCGGUAAGUCCGCUGUGAAAGUCGGGGGCUCAACCCUCGAAUGCCGGUGGAUACUGUCGGGCUAGAGUACGGAAGAGGCGAGUGGAAUUCCUGGCGUAGCGGUGAAAUGCGCAGAUAUCAGGAGGAACACCUAUUGCGAAGGUAGCUCGCUGGGACGUAACUGACGCUGAGACGCGAAAGCGUGGGGAGCAAACAGG
This 253-nucleotide ribosomal RNA is filed under the name uncultured bacterium. RNAcentral describes it as "partial 16S ribosomal RNA". It matches the Rfam family "Bacterial small subunit ribosomal RNA", at positions 524 to 776 of the family's 1533-position model. The record is from RNAcentral.